GAUGAACGCUGGCUACAGGCUUAACACAUGCAAGUCGAGGGGAAACGACGGGGAAGCUUGCUUCCCCGGGCGUCGACCGGCGCACGGGUGAGUAACGCGUAUCCAACCUGCCUCUGACUGAGGGAUAACCCGUCGAAAGUCGGCCUAAUACCUCAUGGCAUCGUCUGCGGGCAUCCAACGACGAUUAAAGAUUUCAUCGGUCAGGGAUGGGGAUGCGUCUGAUUAGCUUGUUGGCGGGGUAACGGCCCACCAAGGCUACGAUCAGUAGGGGUUCUGAGAGGAAGGGCCCCCACAUUGGAACUGAGACACGGUCCAAACUCCUACGGGAGGCAGCAGUGAGGAAUAUUGGGCAAUGGGCGGGAGCCUGAACCAGCCAAGUAGCGUGCAGGAGGACGGCCCUAUGGGUUGUAAACUGCUUUUAUGCGGGGAUAAAGUGAGGGACGUGUCCUUCAUUGCAGGUACCGCAUGAAUAAGGACCGGCUAAUUCCGUG
Molecule: ribosomal RNA, 491 nt
Filed under: uncultured bacterium
Lineage: Bacteria
Description: partial 16S ribosomal RNA
Rfam family: Bacterial small subunit ribosomal RNA
Source: RNAcentral